AAAAAGAAGCUGGAAAGACAAAAUUUAUUACUAACUUUAGGAGAUAAAAUGAUUCAGUAAAUGCUGCUGUGAAAGCCUACUGGUCAUAGGAGGAUGUAAAACAUUCCGGUCCAUAUUACUGAGGUGCCAGUUGAAGGAUGAUACCAGAUUUCUGGGAGGAGAUCCUGAAUUUAGACAAAUGACUGCAGAUGGUGAUAUAAAGCUGUACAGAAGACAAAUGGUAGCUGUGGCUUUCAGGAUUUGACUUGCUGUGCUAGGGACCCAUGUGUCUAUGUCACACAUGGAACAGGCAGUGAAUUUCAUACCACGUGCUGGUUCUACUCAGCUGUGUACACACAGAGGGAGCAAGAAGGAGUCUGUCUUCGCAUGGCAAACAGCUCUUGUGGGCAAAGCUGUAUGCAGCUGUAUGCAGCUACACCAGGAGGGAAGUCAGCUCAAACACACACCAAAGAAAGCCUCAAACACACACCAAAGCUCAGAGGUGACACUCAGACUCACCAGGCAGAACUGUUACUGCAGGAUGAAACUCUUCGGAACAAGACUUGGGGUUACCUCAGCUUAGUGCCAGAGAUGUUACAUAAUCUUGCUUUAAGCAUUGUCAGAAUUCUGCUUUUUAAAUGCCACAAAGAGAGAUAGGGCACCCAGAACUGCUUGUCCAGUGUUUCUCAGAAUUUUCUCUCCAAGUUUCUAAUGGUGAAUUGAUUCAUCCCAUUCAAUUGUCAAUGUGUGUGAGCUACAGUAUCUCCGUAAAAAAAAAUAAACUACACAUAGACUUUUCUUCACUAUUUCUAGACAAAAAACCCCUAAGUCGAACAUUCAAUAAUAGUCACAGGGACAUUGGGAAGUCGUGUGGUUUUUGUUUUUUUAUUCCCUUUCUUCCUUUUCCUUUUUUAAAAAUAUAAUCAUAGAUUUGUAUAAGAAAUGACUCUGGAAGAGGCAUAAUACAUCAACAGCCGUGGCAACAGCAUUUAUAAACCAAAAUUCUAGCAGAGAAAAUAGUAUUGCAUUACCAUGCAGUACCAGCAUUUAUAGAUUGAUAUACAAAAAAAGCUCGUUAAUAAGAAAUCAUGAAAUAUGUUAUUUGGAAAUACAGCUGAUGACAUUUGCAUUGCAGAAUUUGCAUAACAAGAAUUCAUACUACCAAAAGAGAAAGCUGCGACUAAACAGGUUGACAAAUUAUUUUUUGAUCUAUGGAUAAAUCUGCUGAUUCAAACUUUUGGAAGGGUGAAAGAGAGGAGCAACUAUCCCAUACAAAAUUCUUCACUUUUUCAUCUGAAACACCACAUUAUCCUCCCAAAAAAGAAAACUGAAAACCUGUAUUCUGCAAAGGCUGAUUGCAACAACUUGCACAAAUGUCAGUGUUUUUUCUGCUCCAUGCUGCUCUGACUCUCAAACAUGUGAAACAGUUCUAUUGGCAGACAGCUGUAAAAUCUCAAACAGUUGUGGGUGCAAAGAUAAAAAGCUUGCAAGGUUUUCUGCAGGUUGACAGCAAGGCACAAAUUCAAAACCUGUUGAAAGAGCUGCUCAAGUGAUAACACAUCAUAACAACACAGUAAUAAUGCUACAGAUAAGCUCUUUCCUAUAUAAGACAAAGCUGCUGAGCAAGAAACGUUUUGUGCACUAAAAAUAAUAACCUGUAAGGUCAGUGUGGAGAUUCUUCACAUUCAGCAGAAUUAGAAAACACUAAUUACAUAUAUUUUAGUUGU
Molecule: long non-coding RNA, 1706 nt
Organism: Prinia subflava (tawny-flanked prinia)
Lineage: Eukaryota; Metazoa; Chordata; Aves; Passeriformes; Cisticolidae
Exons: 3
Source: RefSeq, a predicted model, not a curated record